AGUGAACGCUGGCGGUAGGCCUAACACAUGCAAGUCGAACGGCAGCACAGUAAGAGCUUGCUCUUACGGGUGGCGAGUGGCGGACGGGUGAGGAAUACAUCGGAAUCUACUUUUUCGUGGGGGAUAACGUAGGGAAACUUACGCUAAUACCGCAUACGACCUACGGGUGAAAGCAGUGGAUCUUCGGACCUUGCGCGAUUGAAUGAGCCGAUGUCGGAUUAGCUAGUUGGCGGGGUAAAGGCCCACCAAGGCGACGAUCCGUAGCUGGUCUGAGAGGAUGAUCAGCCACACUGGAACUGAGACACGGUCCAGACUCCUACGGGAGGCAGCAGUGGGGAAUAUUGGACAAUGGGCGAAAGCCUGAUCCAGCAAUACCGCGUGAGUGAAGAAGGCCUUCGGAUUGUAAAGCCCUUUUGUUAGGAAAGAAAAGCAGCAGGUUAAUACCCCGCUGUUCUGACGGUACCCAAAGAAUAAGCACCGGCUAACUUCGUG
RNAcentral lists this ribosomal RNA (492 nucleotides) under uncultured bacterium. RNAcentral's name for it is "partial 16S ribosomal RNA". It matches the Rfam family "Bacterial small subunit ribosomal RNA", at positions 29 to 507 of the family's 1533-position model. The record is from RNAcentral.